Cyprinus carpio carpio is the source of this 2015-nucleotide long non-coding RNA. Lineage: Eukaryota; Metazoa; Chordata; Actinopteri; Cypriniformes; Cyprinidae. The record is from Ensembl.
CUGCCAACAAUACCAAGCCAAGGGCCACUUAUUAUUAUUAUAAUUAUUAUAUUAUUGUUGCUUUUGUUAAAAUAGUCAAAAGAUUGGCACAAGAUAAAUAUUCAGAUUUUUUCCCAUAGUAGUCUGUUUUAUUCAUACAAUUAUGAAUAUUUUUGCAUUUAGAUACAGAAGAACUUUGCCUGUUGAAUAUUAAAAACAAAUGAACAAACAAAAAAUCUGGAUCUCCAUGUCUGCCAUGUAAAUCAAUUGUUUCUGCUCAUCUCCAAACUGGAUCUCUUCUCACCACUUUCCCUAAUUGCAGAUUCAAUUAUUAGAUCUGUCAGCAUUAAUAUUUUUAUACUUAGAUUUUUUGGGGGGAUCAAACAGUAACACUGUGUCCUAACUAGACGUGACGCAAUAAAAAGUAUCUUUUCCUUUUUAGUUUUUGUCCUGACCACCCGGGACAGUGACGUGUGUCAAAAAGCGACACAGAAUUCUAUUUUAGGAAUGUUUUUUUAUUUUCUGCGACGUCGCAGCAGGAACAAGAUACAAAAUAUGACAGUUGUAAUCUCAGGAGUCUACUGCAGGAACAUCGGAUGGUUCCCCAGUCCAGGGCAAAUGUGGAGGUCAGUACCCUAGAACACAUUUAAAGGGGGUUAAGCCAGUGGAGGAAUGGAUGAGUAAGUUCUGUGCUUACCCACCAAUGGUAAGAACUUGUUCCAGUGGUUCUGUGAGCUAUGGCAAUAAGAGCAAAGGAAUGUGCCAAUUUCUUGAUUAAGUCUUUCCACUUGUUUGUUUGGUUAAGGGUGAUAUCUUGAGGUUAAACUUAUGUUGAUGUUAAGUUGUUGGCAGAAAGCUUUCCAUACUCCGGUUUGAGGUCAGAAUUGAGGUCCCUUGUCUGAGAAAAUAUCCUCAGGUAGACCAAAUAUUCUAAAUGCAUGGUUGAAGAUAGUCUCAGCAGUGUUUAUAGCACUGGGCGGCACUUUAAGAGGAACCAAUCUGCAAGCCUUAGAGAACCUGUCCAUUAUCAGCAUGAUGGUGGUGUAGCCAUUUGAGGGGGGUAGAUCAGUAAUGAAAUCUAUAUGGCAAUGUGGGACCAGGGUCUUCUGGGGAUAGAAAGGGGUUCUAGGUGCCUCACAGGGAGCUGCUGAGGAGUGUGGCUUUGUGGACAAACUUGGCAUCCUUGGACAUAAUUGGUUACAUCAGUGGUCAGGGUUGGCCACCAGAAUUGUUGUCUAACCAUGGUAUUGGUGGGGCUGAUGCUGGGGUGACCUGAAUCAGAUAAUGUGUGGAUCCACUGAAUAACUUGGAUGCCCUGGUUUUCAGGUAGAAAAAGAUACUUUGUCUGACAUUCUGUAGAAACCCAACCAGGAUGUUGGAAGUUCUUGGUGUCUGUCACGAUAUCCCACCUAACGGGUGCAAUAAUUAUAGAGGGGUUUAGAAUGUGAGAAUUUGAAAGAUUUACUUGAGCCUUUUCAUAGAUACAAGAUAAGGUGUCAGCCUGGCUGUUCUUGCUUCCAGGUUCAUAUAUCACAGAAAAGUUGUGAAGAACAGUGGCCAUUGGCGAGGAUUCAGACGUGUGGCUGUGCGGAUGUAUUAUAGGUUCUUGUGAUCAGUAGGUCCUAUAAAUGGGUACUUGGCCCCUUCUAACCAAUGUCGCCACUCUUCCAAGGUGAAUUCAAUGGAUAACAGAGUUGUAGUUGUGUAUAAAUUGCAUUGUGUUUAAAAUUGUGGCACCAGUCCACUGAUUUUACUUCACUUUUGUUGGAGGUUAUCUGAUUCAUUUUUUAGCCAAACAAACUGCUGUCCAUCCUGCAAUGGAGUUUAUACAUAAAGAUAUUAGUUCUUUGUUCUAUUGAGUUGAACGUCUUCUCACCAGAUGCAAGCUCAUCAAAAAUGGCUUUCAAUCGUUUUACCGAAGGGAAUCAUUAAACAGCAAAUAGACACCCAAUGGUCUCAUGGAUUUCACAAACAUAUAUGAGCAUUAUGAUUUUCCUUACCUUAAACAAUCAAACCAAAAAUGAAUAUUAAAUAGC